This 497-nucleotide ribosomal RNA is filed under the name uncultured bacterium. RNAcentral describes it as "partial 16S ribosomal RNA". It matches the Rfam family "Bacterial small subunit ribosomal RNA", at positions 28 to 507 of the family's 1533-position model. The record is from RNAcentral.
GAUGAACGCUGGCGGCGUGCCUAAUACAUGCAAGUCGAGCGAACGGACGAGAAGCUUGCUUCUCUGAUGUUAGCGGCGGACGGGUGAGUAACACGUGGAUAACCUACCUAUAAGACUGGGAUAACUUCGGGAAACCGGAGCUAAUACCGGAUAAUAUUUUGAACCGCAUGGUUCAAAAGUGAAAGACGGUCUUGCUGUCACUUAUCGAUGGAUCCGCGCUGCAUUAGCUAGUUGGUAAGGUAACGGCUUACCAAGGCAACGAUGCAUAGCCGACCUGAGAGGGUGAUCGGCCACACUGGAACUGAGACACGGUCCAGACUCCUACGGGAGGCAGCAGUAGGGAAUCUGCCGCAAUGGGCGAAAGCCUGACGGAGCAACGCCGCGUGAGUGAUGAAGGUCUUCGGAUCGUAAAACUCUGUUAUUAGGGAAGAACAUAUGUGUAAGUAGCUGUGCACAUCUUGACGGUACCUAAUCAGAAAGCCACGGCUAACUACGUG